GGCUGCUUUGUUGAGCCG
RNAcentral lists this small nuclear RNA (18 nucleotides) under Arabidopsis thaliana (thale cress). Its description in RNAcentral is "snRNA_02139". Lineage: Eukaryota; Viridiplantae; Streptophyta; Magnoliopsida; Brassicales; Brassicaceae. The record is from RNAcentral.